RNAcentral lists this ribosomal RNA (452 nucleotides) under uncultured Sphingomonas sp. Its description in RNAcentral is "bacterial SSU rRNA". It matches the Rfam family "Bacterial small subunit ribosomal RNA", at positions 91 to 578 of the family's 1533-position model. Lineage: Bacteria; Pseudomonadati; Pseudomonadota; Alphaproteobacteria; Sphingomonadales; Sphingomonadaceae. The record is from RNAcentral.
UCUAGUGGCGCACGGGUGCGUAACGCGUGGGAAUCUGCCCUUUGGUUCGGAAUAACAGUUGGAAACGACUGCUAAUACCGGAUGAUGACGAAAGUCCAAAGAUUUAUCGCCAGAGGAUGAGCCCGCGUAGGAUUAGCUAGUUGGUGUGGUAAAGGCGCACCAAGGCGACGAUCCUUAGCUGGUCUGAGAGGAUGAUCAGCCACACUGGGACUGAGACACGGCCCAGACUCCUACGGGAGGCAGCAGUGGGGAAUAUUGGACAAUGGGCGAAAGCCUGAUCCAGCAAUGCCGCGUGAGUGAUGAAGGCCUUAGGGUUGUAAAGCUCUUUUACCCGGGAUGAUAAUGACAGUACCGGGAGAAUAAGCUCCGGCUAACUCCGUGCCAGCAGCCGCGGUAAUACGGAGGGAGCUAGCGUUGUUCGGAAUUACUGGGCGUAAAGCGCACGUAGGCGG